RNAcentral lists this non-coding RNA (24 nucleotides) under Arabidopsis thaliana (thale cress). The record is from RNAcentral. Lineage: Eukaryota; Viridiplantae; Streptophyta; Magnoliopsida; Brassicales; Brassicaceae.
UAACGUGGUUGAUGGACCGAUUUC